GUCAAUCUGCAUUGGCUUCCUUCAAGCCGUGGUACCACUUUAACAUUUCUUGAUUGACAAUUUGCAUUAUGUCCUCAAUUAGCUUCUGAAAGUUCCAUUGGAUCUUGCAUUGACAAACUAUCAUUUGCACAACAAUUAGUGAAUCUAGUUUUUUAAGUUGCAUCACGACAGUCCAUACAAAGUUGCUUGUAUUUCACUUGAG
This 202-nucleotide long non-coding RNA is filed under the name Capsicum annuum. RNAcentral describes it as "long non-coding RNA (CANN_LNC009518)". The record is from RNAcentral. Lineage: Eukaryota; Viridiplantae; Streptophyta; Magnoliopsida; Solanales; Solanaceae.